CUUGACUUCAUCGAUGGUCUUGUAGUUGUAAUUGGGGUGUUUGGUUUCAUCGGUGGUCUUGUAGUUGUAACUGGGAUGUUUGACUUCAUCGGUGGUCUCGUAGUUGUAGUUGGGUUGUUUGACUUCAUCGGUGGUCUUGUAGUUGUAGUUUGGUUGUUUGGCAUCAUCAAUGGUCUUGUAGUUGUAGCUGGGUUGUUUGGCUUCAUCGGUGGUCUUGUAGUUGUAGCUGAGUUGUUUGGCUUCAUCGGAUGGUCUUGUAGUUGUAGUUUGGUUGUUUGGCAUCAUCAAUGGUCUUGUAGUUGUAGCUGGGUUGUUUGGCUUCAUCGGUGGUCUUGUAGUUGUAGCUGAGUUGUUUGGCUUCAUCGGUGGUCUUGUAGUUGUAGCUGGGUUGUUUGGCUUCAUUGGUGGUCUUGUAGUUGUAGCUGGGUUGUUUGGCUUCACUGGUGGUCUUGUAGUGGUAGUUGGGGUGUUUGGCUUCGUUGAUGCUCUUGUAGUUGUAGCUGGGGUGUUUGGCUUCACUGGUGGUCUUAUAGGUCUUGUAAAUGUAACUGGGAUGUUUGGCCUCAUCGUUGGUCUUGUAGAUGUAACUGGGUUGUUUGGCCUUAUCGGUGAUCUUAUAGAUGUAACUGGGUUGUUUGUCCUCAUCAGUGGUCUUGUAGAUGUAACUAGGCUGUUUGGCCUCAUAUGAGGUCUUGUAGAUGUAAAUGGGUUGUUUGGACUGAUCGACGGUUUUGUAGAUGUAAUUGGGUUGUUUGGCGUCAUCGACGGUCUUGUAGAUGUAAUUAGGCUGUUUGGCUUCAUCGGUAGUCUUAUAGUAGUAAUUUGACUGUUUGGCUUCACCGACGGUCUUGUAGAUGUAACUGGGUUGUUUGGCCUCAUCGACAGUCUUAUGGUUGUAAUUGGACUGUUUGGUUUCAUCGACAGUCUUGUAGUUGUAAUUGAG
This 943-nucleotide long non-coding RNA is filed under the name Lathyrus oleraceus (garden pea). RNAcentral's name for it is "Pisum sativum (pea) long non-coding RNA (PSAT_LNC029706)". The record is from RNAcentral. Lineage: Eukaryota; Viridiplantae; Streptophyta; Magnoliopsida; Fabales; Fabaceae.